This 253-nucleotide ribosomal RNA is filed under the name uncultured bacterium. RNAcentral describes it as "partial 16S ribosomal RNA". It matches the Rfam family "Bacterial small subunit ribosomal RNA", at positions 524 to 776 of the family's 1533-position model. The record is from RNAcentral.
UACGGAGGGGGCAAGCGUUGUUCGGAUUUACUGGGCGUAAAGGGUGCGUAGGCGGUCGGGUAAGUCUGAUGUGAAAUCUCAGAGCUCAACUCUGAAACUGCAUUGGAUACUAUUCGGCUUGAGGUCUGGAGGGGGGACUGGAAUUCUCGGUGUAGCAGUGAAAUGCGUAGAUAUCUGGAGGAAUACCGGUGGCGAAGGCGGCAUCCUGGACCGACAUUGACGCUGAGGAGCGAAAGCUAGGGGAGCAAACGGG